RNAcentral lists this ribosomal RNA (460 nucleotides) under uncultured bacterium. RNAcentral describes it as "partial 16S ribosomal RNA". It matches the Rfam family "Bacterial small subunit ribosomal RNA", at positions 338 to 795 of the family's 1533-position model. The record is from RNAcentral.
CCUACGGGGGGCAGCAGUGAGGAAUAUUGGUCAAUGGGCGCGAGCCUGAACCAGCCAAGUCGCGUGAGGGAAGACGGCCCUACGGGUUGUAAACCUCUUUUGCCGGGGAGCAACGGGCGCCACGUGUGGCGCCACUGCGAGUACCCGGAGAAAAAGCAUCGGCUAACUCCGUGCCAGCAGCCGCGGUACUACGGGGGAUGCGAGCGUUAUCCGGAUUUAUUGGGUUUAAAGGGGGCGUAGGCGGAGCGUUAAGUCAGUGGUAAAAUUGAGGGGCCAAACCCCUUCCCGCCAUUGAAACUGGCGGUCUUGAGUGGACGAGAAGUAUGCGGAAUGCGUGGUGUAGCGGUGAAAUGCAUAGAUAUCACGCAGAACCCCGAUUGCGAAGGCAGCAUGCCGGCUUCCGACUGACGCUGAGGCACGAAAGCGUGGGGAUCGAACAGGAUUAGAUACCCGAGUAGUC